CGCCAGACUCCUACGGGAGGCAGCAGUGGGGAAUAUUGCACAAUGGGGGAAACCCUGAUGCAGCGACGCCGCGUGAGUGAAGAAGUAUUUCGGUAUGUAAAGCUCUAUCAGCAGGGAAGAAAAUGACGGUACCUGAUUAAGAAGCCCCGGCUAACUACGUGCCAGCAGCCGCGGUAAUACGUAGGGGGCAAGCGUUAUCCGGAUUUACUGGGUGUAAAGGGAGCGUAGACGGUGAUGCAAGUCAGAAGUGAAAGCCCGGGGCUCAACUCCGGGACUGCUUUUGAAACUGUGUGACUGGAGUGCAGGAGAGGUAAGCGGAAUUCCUGGUGUAGCGGUGAAAUGCGUAGAUAUCAGGAGGAACACCAGUGGCGAAGGCGGCUUACUGGACUGUAACUGACGUUGAGGCUCGAAAGCGUGGGGGGCAAACAGGAUUAGAUACCCCAGUAA
This 447-nucleotide ribosomal RNA is filed under the name uncultured bacterium. Its description in RNAcentral is "bacterial SSU rRNA". It matches the Rfam family "Bacterial small subunit ribosomal RNA", at positions 329 to 793 of the family's 1533-position model. The record is from RNAcentral.